RNAcentral lists this ribosomal RNA (484 nucleotides) under uncultured bacterium. Its description in RNAcentral is "bacterial SSU rRNA". It matches the Rfam family "Bacterial small subunit ribosomal RNA", at positions 30 to 504 of the family's 1533-position model. The record is from RNAcentral.
UGAACGCUGGCGGCAUGCCUAACACAUGCAAGUCGAACGGAAACGACAGGAGCUUGCUCCUGGGCGUCGAGUGGCGGACGGGUGAGUAAUGCAUAGGAAUCUGCCCAUGUAGUGGGGGACAACCUGGGGAAACUCAGGCUAAUACCGCAUGAGCCCUUCGGGGUAAAGCAGGGGAUCUUCGGACCUUGCGCUAUUGGAUGAGCCUAUGCCUGAUUAGCUUGUUGGUGGGGUAACGGCCUACCAAGGCGACGAUCAGUAGCUGGUCUGAGAGGACGAUCAGCCACACUGGGACUGAGACACGGCCCAGACUCCUACGGGAGGCAGCAGUGGGGAAUAUUGGACAAUGGGCGCAAGCCUGAUCCAGCAAUGCCGCGUGUGUGAAGAAGGCCUGCGGGUUGUAAAGCACUUUCAGUGGGGAGGAAAAGCUCAAGAUUAACACUCUUGAGUCUUGACGUUAUCCACAGAAGAAGCACCGGCUAACUCU